GACGAACGCUGGCGGCGUGCCUAAUACAUGCAAGUGGGACGCAAGGGAACACACUGUGCUUGCACACCGUGUUUUCUUGAGUCGCGAACGGGUGAGUAACGCGUAGGUAACCUGCCUAUUAGCGGGGGAUAACUAUUGGAAACGAUAGCUAAUACCGCAUAAUAUUAAUUAUUGCAUGAUAAUUGAUUGAAAGAUGCAAGCGCAUCACUAGUAGAUGGACCUGCGUUGUAUUAGCUAGUUGGUAAGGUAAGAGCUUACCAAGGCGACGAUACAUAGCCGACCUGAGAGGGUGAUCGGCCACACUGGGACUGAGACACGGCCCAGACUCCUACGGGAGGCAGCAGUAGGGAAUCUUCGGCAAUGGACGAAAGUCUGACCGAGCAACGCCGCGUGAGUGAAGAAGGUUUUCGGAUCGUAAAACUCUGUUGUAAGUCAAGAACGUGUGUGAGAGUGGAAAGUUCACACAGAGACGGUAGCUACCA
RNAcentral lists this ribosomal RNA (482 nucleotides) under Streptococcus mutans. RNAcentral's name for it is "bacterial SSU rRNA". It matches the Rfam family "Bacterial small subunit ribosomal RNA", at positions 28 to 485 of the family's 1533-position model. Lineage: Bacteria; Bacillati; Bacillota; Bacilli; Lactobacillales; Streptococcaceae. The record is from RNAcentral.